RNAcentral lists this unclassified non-coding RNA (22 nucleotides) under Mus musculus (house mouse). RNAcentral's name for it is "oocyte_clustered_small_RNA12399". Lineage: Eukaryota; Metazoa; Chordata; Mammalia; Rodentia; Muridae. The record is from RNAcentral.
UGUAGGUUGGUGCAGGUAUGGA